Long non-coding RNA from Homo sapiens (human), 302 nucleotides. RefSeq lists it as uncharacterized. The transcript is spliced from 3 exons. The record is from RefSeq and is a predicted model, not a curated record. Lineage: Eukaryota; Metazoa; Chordata; Mammalia; Primates; Hominidae.
GGCAGAGGGUUCUUUGCAUUCGGUAUUUAAUACAUUUUGUUGGACUUCCUAAAAACUAAUUGGCUCCUUAUGAUUAAAAAAAAAAGAGUUACAAAAAUACCAAGUGUUCAGAUAAAAUACGCACACUGCUUGGAUGUGCAGAGUUCAGGAAAACAGGCAGUGCUUCAGCGUCGGUGAAGAGCAUUGGGACUGCAUGGAGCACUCGCAACUUUGAGGGCGAGCUCACUCUCUGGCAUCAAGUUCCCCGUGCUCAGUUUCCCUACACAAGAGUCCAAGAGGAGAGGAUACUCGUGACGCAUCCC